CCUCUAUUAUCGGGUUCUGCGAGAGAAGUGCUUAAAUUACUCAGAAAAGGGACUGAUGUUGACCCUUUAUCUCACCAAUGUUGGCCAAGCCAAGACCUACGAGGUAGACGGCGGCACCAGAUUCAGUUCGAAUCACUCACUCGUAGACUCAAUUUUCUUACUAAACAAACAGUACUGAAUUGGUGUUAUACGAGGCUCUUACUGAUCAUACAUAAUCACUGUUGUUGUGCUCUACGAACGCGGGAACGGUUAUGGUUAGGCCCAUCAGUGCAAGCUGGAGGACCUCCCCAUGUCUGCCCUGUAAUCUCAUUAUCUGCCUGCGAAGAUGCCACACUCGUAGCCACUGUCGGAGCAGCCGAAGGAGUUGCUGGUGAUGCCGAGCAUCCUUUACAACAAUUUCCCAUAUUAGAUAGAAUCUAUAUAUAUAUAUAUAUACGUAAAGAAAUAAGAAGUCUUUGUGUACUCUUUGAGUGCACAAAGCAAAUAUAUGUACGUGUAUGAUUUUAGAUAUGAAAGAAAUUCCUUGGUGUGGACCUUUAUAUAGGGGUCUAGACUCUAGCGCGGGGA
This is a long non-coding RNA of Cannabis sativa, 567 nucleotides long. RefSeq lists it as uncharacterized. Lineage: Eukaryota; Viridiplantae; Streptophyta; Magnoliopsida; Rosales; Cannabaceae. The transcript has 3 exons. The record is from RefSeq and is a predicted model, not a curated record.